CAGUCGCCGCGGUAAUACGAAGGGGGCUAGCGUUGCUCGGAAUCACUGGGCGUAAAGGGUGCGUAGGCGGGUCUUUAAGUCAGGGGUGAAAUCCUGGAGCUCAACUCCAGAACUGCCUUUGAUACUGAAGAUCUUGAGUUCGGGAGAGGUGAGUGGAACUGCGAGUGUAGAGGUGAAAUUCGUAGAUAUUCGCAAGAACACCAGUGGCGAAGGCGGCUCACUGGCCCGAUACUGACGCUGAGGCACGAAAGCGUGGGGAGCAAACAGGAUUAGAUACCCGGGUAGUCCCUGUCUCUUAUAC
RNAcentral lists this ribosomal RNA (301 nucleotides) under uncultured bacterium. RNAcentral describes it as "partial 16S ribosomal RNA". It matches the Rfam family "Bacterial small subunit ribosomal RNA", at positions 509 to 807 of the family's 1533-position model. The record is from RNAcentral.